UCCCUUUCGCUGCUCCUAACACAGCAAACCUCCAGCCAGAACAGCAAAAACGCCAAAGGAACAGCCUGCUCCUGCCAGGCACCCUGACCCCACCUCCACCUGCCCACACAGACCUUCCCAACGGGACCUCCCCUGGGCACCCGGCUGGGAGAUCCAAGCAGGAAUCAUUAGCACAGCUCAGGGCACCUCGGAGACUUUCAACUCCCCCAGUUAUCCCAAACUUCCCGACUCGGUUCACCCAGGGUUUUGAUUCUCUGCCUCCAUCUGACCAAAAGCCGCUCAAACUCCUCUCGAAUUUCAGCUGGGGUUCUCCUCCUUUCCACAACCUAUGUGCAGAAUCAAGAUGGGAAGACAGUUGAGGACCCAGGAGAACUUUUUGCCAUCCCAAACAGAAGCUCUGUAUCCAGUAGUGACUUCAAUAUUUUAUAAACAAAUAUAUCACAGAAUGUUCUUUCUGACAUACGUAAGAUGAGAACUGAAACUGGAACAAUUCGGAGGGCACCGCCCUGGUGCAUGGAUAACGGAAACAGUAAUUCAGGAAGUAGUCCUGCUUGUGAAAAUUCACUGUGCCGUAUACUCAGGAGAUGACCACUUUUCUGUAUGUAUAUUCUAUUUCUAUAAAAAUACAAGGCCCCCUGGAAGAGGUGGGCCUCCGUAUUUCCAUCUCUGCAUUUUCUCCUUCUUCUUCUUCUUGCUCUAGUGUUUUGUUUUCCUCCCGACUUUAAAUGCAUUUCCUGCUACACUUAUCAAUACACCACCUGCACCAACCCUGGUGUUUCGAACAUAAAUCAUGGGAAAAUAAUCUUUUCCAGAAUAUCUGCGGAAAGUCUGGAAACAUGGGAUUCAUCCUCAAACAGAAAUAAACCCCAAGGAUGCAUUUGGAAUCAUCCUACAACAUCGAGCACUGUGUAGACUGGAGUAACUCAUUCUGUCUGACUGAUCUCCACAGGAACGUUGCAAGUAGAACAGAUUUAAUGUGAGACUAACCUGUAUCUCCUGUAAAAAUGCAGCUCCAUUUAAUUGACAAAAAAAAAAAAAAAAACCAACAA
Molecule: long non-coding RNA, 1049 nt
Organism: Piliocolobus tephrosceles (Ugandan red Colobus)
Lineage: Eukaryota; Metazoa; Chordata; Mammalia; Primates; Cercopithecidae
Exons: 5
Source: RefSeq, a predicted model, not a curated record